GACGAACGCUGGCGGCGUGCCUAAUACAUGCAAGUCGAGCGAGCGAAACUAACUGAUCCCUCCGGGGUGACGUUAGUGGAUCUAGCGGCGGACGGGUGAGUAACACGUGGGCAACCUGCCUGUAAGACUGGGAUAACUCGCGGAAACGCGAGCUAAUACCGGAUGAUACUUUGAACUGCAUGGUUCGAAUAUUAAUGGCGGCGCAAGCUGUCACUUACAUAUGGGCCCGCGGCGCAUUAGCUAGUUGGUGAGGUAACGGCUCACCAAGGCCACGAUGCGUAGCCGACCUGAGAGGGUGAUCGGCCACACUGGGACUGAGACACGGCCCAGACUCCUACGGGAGGCAGCAGUAGGGAAUCUUCCGCAAUGGACGAAAGUCUGACGGAGCAACGCCGCGUGAGUGAUGAAGGUUUUCGGAUCGUAAAACUCUGUUGUUAGGGAAGAACAAGUACAAGAGUAACUGCUUGUACCUUGACGGUACCUAACCAGAAAGCCCCGGCUAACUACGUG
This 510-nucleotide ribosomal RNA is filed under the name uncultured bacterium. Its description in RNAcentral is "partial 16S ribosomal RNA". It matches the Rfam family "Bacterial small subunit ribosomal RNA", at positions 28 to 507 of the family's 1533-position model. The record is from RNAcentral.